ACAACAAGGGCGGCGCCAUUUCACUCAUUUUGUCAACGUUCUUCCGGCCGCAGAGACGAUGAGCAGCUGAGGCAGUGAUUGAAGGCGACGUGUUAAGCUUAAAAAGCUCACUCGAGCGCCUUUAUGUUUCUUUCUUACCAAUUUUAAGCCAACUGAGGAACACCCUUAUCCCAAGUAAUGGUUCGACUACGAUGUUCCGGUAACUUUAAACCACGCCUGGUGUUGAAAAGGUGGCCAGUUUCAGAUGCAUUGAUGUUUAGUGAUGCAGUGGACAACUGUGAGGAUGAUACAAUCAACAUGUUCCUAAACUGUGAUGCAGAAACACAAUGGGAGCAUCUAUCCGUCUCUGACCACAACUACACUUUAAAAUCACAACUCAACCUGAAGCAACCUACAUCUGAUAUGGGAAAACAAUGGUGCGGUUUCCCUGACAGGGCUUAUCCUGGUCCCAGGCUAAAAUGCAUAUUUGAGCUACAAUAAUUUAAAAACACCUUUUACUGACAUACCUCAACAUAUAUUAGUGCCAUUGUUUUGUCACAAGAUGCGCACCAGUCUUGUUUUUUUGUAGGAUUUGUUUGUAAAAACUAAAAUGUCCUAAUAUAAUUAAGGCCUAGUCCUGUAAACCCUGUCCGAGAAACUGCUUCAAUGCUUCUGCUUCAUGUGUUGAGCUGGCACAAAUGUACAUAUCUCUGCUGAGAAACAACCAUCUUUGUCAGCUUUACACAGGGUUGAUAUUGCAUGCAUUACACCAUCGCCAAGCACUUUACCAGUACAUACACCAACAGCUUCCAGAUAUACGCUUGGGAUCAGCUCCUGAUGACUCCGAUAAAGCUGUGUCUUAAUUUAUUGCAGGGUGGUCUUGCUUUACCGGUUGUAAAGUUACAUUAAACCUUCAUAUGUGAUCAGAUGUCAUGCAGUGAUAUUAAACAUUUACAGUGUGAUCAGAUGUUGUGCAUUUAUAUUAAACAUUUACAGUGUGAUCAGAUGUUGUGCAUUUAUAUUAAACCUUUACAAUGUGAUCAGAUGUUGUGCAUUUAUAUUAAAUCUUUACAAUGUGA
Molecule: non-coding RNA, 1058 nt
Organism: Paramisgurnus dabryanus
Lineage: Eukaryota; Metazoa; Chordata; Actinopteri; Cypriniformes; Cobitidae
Source: RefSeq, a predicted model, not a curated record